Molecule: RNase P RNA, 405 nt
Filed under: Alphaproteobacteria bacterium
Lineage: Bacteria; Pseudomonadati; Pseudomonadota; Alphaproteobacteria
Description: RNase P RNA component class A
Rfam family: Bacterial RNase P class A
About the family: Ribonuclease P (RNase P) is a ubiquitous endoribonuclease, found in archaea, bacteria and eukarya as well as chloroplasts and mitochondria.
Source: RNAcentral
CCAGAUGGUCGGAUGGCCGCCGUCCCGAAACGGGGCGGAGGAAAGUCCGGGCUCCACGAACGCGCGGUGCCGGGUAACGCCCGGCGGGGGCGACCCCAGGGACAGUGCCACAGAGAACAGACCGCCUUGCCCGCUCACGCCGUCUUUGAUGGAUGGGACGCAAGGUCAGGGUGAAACGGUGCGGUAAGAGCGCACCGCGGGACCGGCAACGGAACCGGCACGGUAAACCCCACCGGGAGCAAGACCGAAUAGGGAUGGCACGGGCGAGAGAUCGCCCAGGCGCUGCGUCCGCGUCGCCGUCCGGGUUGGUCGCGCGAGGUGUCGGGCAACCGACAUCCCAGAGGAAUGGCCAUCCAUCGCCCGCAGGGGCGAGGACAGAACCCGGCUUAUAGACCAUCUGGCGUA